RNAcentral lists this ribosomal RNA (387 nucleotides) under uncultured bacterium. RNAcentral describes it as "bacterial SSU rRNA". It matches the Rfam family "Bacterial small subunit ribosomal RNA", at positions 28 to 417 of the family's 1533-position model. The record is from RNAcentral.
GACGAACGCUGGCGGCGUGCGUAACACAUGCAAGUCGAGCGGUAAGGCCCUUUCGGGGGUACACGAGCGGCGAACGGGUGAGUAACACGUGGGUGACCUGCCCUUAGCUCUGGGAUAAGCCUGGGAAACUGGGUCUAAUACCGGAUAUGACUCCAUGACGCAUGUUGUGGGGUGGAAAGCCUUGUGCGGCUAGGGAUGGGCCUGCGGCCUAUCAGCUUGUUGGUGGGGUGANGGCCUACCAAGGCGACGACGGGUAGCCGGCCUGAGAGGGCGACCGGCCACACUGGGACUGAGACACGGCCCAGACUCCUACGGGAGGCAGCAGUGGGGAAUCUUGCGCAAUGGGCGAAAGCCUGACGCAGCGACGCCGCGUGGGGAUGACGGCCU